AUACCCCGAUGAUGUCAGCACUGGGCUCUGAUCGCUGUGAUGAUUUGGGUGCCUUCUGGGGACUUGACACUCCAGAAGACUGAGGGGUUC
Molecule: small nucleolar RNA, 90 nt
Organism: Podarcis muralis (Common wall lizard)
Lineage: Eukaryota; Metazoa; Chordata; Lepidosauria; Squamata; Lacertidae
Source: RefSeq, a predicted model, not a curated record